This 556-nucleotide ribosomal RNA is filed under the name Bacillus sp. TmMRS3. RNAcentral describes it as "bacterial SSU rRNA". It matches the Rfam family "Bacterial small subunit ribosomal RNA", at positions 341 to 873 of the family's 1533-position model. The record is from RNAcentral. Lineage: Bacteria; Bacillati; Bacillota; Bacilli; Caryophanales; Bacillaceae.
CCGGGAGGCAGCAGUAGGGAAUCUUCCACAAUGGACGAAAGUCUGAUGGAGCAAUGCCGCGUGAGUGAAGAAGGUUUUCGGAUCGUAAAACUCUGUUGUGAGGGAAGAACAAGUACGAGAGUAACUGCUCGUACCUUGACGGUACCUCAUUAGAAAGCCACGGCUAACUACGUGCCAGCAGCCGCGGUAAUACGUAGGUGGCAAGCGUUGUCCGGAAUUAUUGGGCGUAAAGCGCGCGCAGGCGGUCCUUUAAGUCUGAUGUGAAAGCCCACGGCUCAACCGUGGAAGGUCAUUGGAAACUGGGGGACUUGAGUACAGAAGAGGAAAGCGGAAUUCCAAGUGUAGCGGUGAAAUGCGUAGAGAUUUGGAGGAACACCAGUGGCGAAGGCGGCUUUCUGGUCUGUAACUGACGCUGAGGCGCGAAAGCGUGGGGAGCAAACAGGAUUAGAUACCCUGGUAGUCCACGCCGUAAACGAUGAGUGCUGGGUGUUAGGGGGUUUCCGCCCCUGGGAGCUGCAAUUUCUCUGAAGCAUCCGCCGGGGAGACGUCGCAGACU